This 200-nucleotide ribosomal RNA is filed under the name uncultured bacterium. Its description in RNAcentral is "partial 16S ribosomal RNA". It matches the Rfam family "Bacterial small subunit ribosomal RNA", at positions 524 to 722 of the family's 1533-position model. The record is from RNAcentral.
UACGUAGGUGGCGAGCGUUAUCCGGAUUUAUUGGGUUUAAAGGGAGCGUAGGCGGCUGAUUAAGUCAGCGGUGAAAGGUAGCAGCUUAACUGUUUUACAUGCCGUUGAUACUGGUUAGCUUGAGUUGACAGAAGGCAGAUAGAAUUCCUGGUGUAGCGGUGAAAUGCUUAGAUACCAGGAGGAAUACCGAUUGCGAAGGC